CGCCGCGCAGGCCAGCAUUGCCAUCAGCAUCCCACCCCCCUAAAACGCCACCCGGCGGCCUCCUCCUCCUCCCGGUCUCACGCCGCCUCCGCCGCGCUGUGUUUGAGGGGAUGAGGAUGAGGAUGGAGGAAGGUUCCAUUAAAAGCAAGAGGCUGCCUCAUCUCCAGCUUGCUUAGGACUUGCUGAUGCCCAACACCUAAAGAGGAAGGCAUGGAUUCAUCAGACACUGGACUUUGCAGAUCAGGAGAGUGAGAGAAACAGGCAAGGCAGGAACCUACAUCUACAGAUCAUGUACAAAGUCUGUGAGCUUAUAAAUACACCCGUUCUCACAGGACCCCCACAACAGCCUUUAGUAUUGCAGCCCUAUUUCUCCAUGACAUCCACAGCGCUGCUCGGCUCACACAGACACCGUGCGCAGAGUUACUGCACUGAGGACAGACUGAAAGUUUUGCUGUUCUGUUUUCUGAAUCCCCGCAGUUGUUGAGUGAAGAGUAAUUGCAACUGAGGAAAAGCAAGUGGAGUAUUAGCCUUUAAAUUAAGUUAUUUUCACUGUGAUAUUUGAAAGAGGAUCCUAUUCUUAAGUUACCACUUGAGCGUACAGGAAAUUCUGCUAUCUAAAAAGUUGCUUGGGUGACUAAAAUGGAAAUAUAUUGAGCACUUUAGUCCUUGUCCUCGUGGCAUCAGGGAGCCCCAUGUGUAUAUGCUGUCAUAAACCAGAAAUAGCAUAUAGCAACAUACAUAAGGUUCUGAAUUCAGAACACUAUGCAUCGGCUUCCAGCACUGCAAAAUAA
Molecule: long non-coding RNA, 791 nt
Organism: Pogoniulus pusillus (Red-fronted tinkerbird)
Lineage: Eukaryota; Metazoa; Chordata; Aves; Piciformes; Lybiidae
Exons: 2
Source: RefSeq, a predicted model, not a curated record